Long non-coding RNA from Sus scrofa (pig), 2791 nucleotides. RefSeq lists it as uncharacterized. The record is from RefSeq and is a predicted model, not a curated record. Lineage: Eukaryota; Metazoa; Chordata; Mammalia; Artiodactyla; Suidae.
UAUGCCGCGGGAGUGGCUCAAGAAAGGCAAAAAAAGACAAAAAUAUAAAAAUUUAAAAAAAUAAGGGAGGCCGAGUGUGUGGAGUAAUAAUAAGCGAAUAAUAAGGAGCCUGAGUGUCUGUACUGAAUUCUCAAUUUUUCUGUAAAUCUAAAACCAUUCUAAAAGUAAUUUUUUUAAACUAACCCACUCAUACCCCCUGGGAUGUGUAUGGUUACCUCCUGACCACCUUGAGUGGCUAAGUUAACUCAUUUUUGUGCACACUCACACCUGUUUGAAUCACGACACAUAUAAAACAAUAAACAGAAGUAUAUGGGCAGUUGAGGGGACUUUAGCCCAAUUUGGGGCGUCCCAAGCAAGCUUCUGGCUCAGCUGCACUGACGAGGGCUGAGCACGCGGACGACUGUUCCUGCCCCAGCGGGACUGCUGUUACAGGCUCCGGGUUCAAAUCUGUUAGACUGGCUGCACUGGCCAGGCUGCCGCACCCGUACCUCUGAACUGGCAGGUCCUUGCAGGUGAAGAGCCACUCUCAUCUGUGGCGGCCCUACCCUCCCGGCAAGCAUCGUCUUUUAUGAAAGGCACUCUGGCCAGCGGGUGGUCGCCCACUGAGGGCUGGCCUGGCUGGGGGUCACCCACUCCCAGGGGCCCCCACUCCCCAGCCACCAGGACCCUCCCACCCCUUUCUGAGCAUGGGUGCCAGCUGAGCAGUCCCAGUGCUGGAAUCAUAUCUGCCCUAAGGGGUGGGGGCCCAGGGUGGCCCCACGUCCUGUGACAUGCUGGCUUGGUGCCUGUGGGGUGGGUCCACCUCGAGCCCACACCCUGAAGCCCACAGGUGCCUCAUUGGCCAGCUCCCUGGUGCCACCCCUUUGCUACCCAGGGUUUCCUGAAAUCUGCAGACAGGUAGUGCCUUGCCCCUGUCCUUAAGGAGUCCAGCCUUCAGCCCUGUCUGGCUGGAAGGAUCCCUAGGAGGGGCCGGGGCUGGAGGGCUCCAGGAGGCCAUAACCAACUCAGGACGGCAGGUCCCCUGAGGAGCAUGGGGAGAGAUUCAUGCCCCUCCCCCGGCCUACUCCUCUGGGUUCUGCCUGGGGUGGGGGGUCCAGACUGUCCUCCCCCAGGGCCAUGCUCUACCCCUCUGGCCCCAACUGCUACCCACUUCUCCUUCCCAAGGAGGCCCACCUGGCCACACCUGGGGACCAGUGGUGUUUACAGGUAACCCUGCUUGGGCACCAGGCGAGCCUGGGAAGGACUCAGCAGAAACCUGGUAACCUGGGGCCUCCCUGAGUCUGUGGCACUUGGCAACCGCCACAGCUCUGGACACUCUGCCUGCGGCUGUGUCGCCACCCGUCCACUUGCUCUUCUCUGGGCCCGGAGGCUGGUCUCCAGGAGAUAAACCGGCCCGGCGUGGGAUCCUUUAGGGGCCCAGGCUUGGUGCCGCUUCUCUCUAGCUGAGUGGUUUUUCCUGAGGGCCCUGAGCCGGAAGUGGGGGUGGGCCUGCGGUGACCCCUCCUGCGGUCCCAGGAUGCUGGACUCCUCAGUGGCAGAUCAAAUGACCCGACUGACCCUGAAACUCCUGGAGAAGAAACUGGAGCAAGAGCGUGAGGACAUGGAUGGGCAUCCUGAGGACCCCCGCCUGGAGACGGGAACCGAGGACGGGCCGGAGGCCGCCCUGUGCAGCGCUCUGCGGAGGAGGAAGAAUCUUCUGCAGAGACUCUGGGAGCAACACCUCCUGGAAGAGGUCUCCCGGGCCCAGGCCUGGAGGGGGGUCGACAGAGGAGCCCGCGGGUCAGCGCCGCCCGCAGAAGUGCCGCCCGUGGGGGUCUCCCCGCCCCCGCCCCCGCCCCCGCUGGACCCGCCUCUGCUCCUCCAACACGCGGCCCCCGCGCCCCCCGCCACCAUCAUCCAGCAGGUGCCUCAGCCGCCGCUCCUCGUGCAGCCGCCCGCUCCGCAGGCCUCCCGCAGCCGGCUCGCGGGGAGCAUCAAGGAAGACAUGGUGGAGAUGAUGCUGAUGCAGAGCGCGCAGGUGCACCAGAUCCUCAUGCAGCAGCUGAUGCUCAGAGCCCUGCCCCCGCCAGCGCUCGCGCCCGCCCCCCUGCACCUCACCCGACAGGACCCGCCGUGGGCCCGCCCCACUGUCCCGAGAGCUGAGAGGCAGAAGCGGCCCUCCGUGCAUCACCACCACCACUACGCACCCCUAGUCCCACCGCAGGCCGGGCCGGGGCCAGGCUGCCCCGUGGGUUACUCCAUGUGGCCCCCGGUGGUCUCCGCCACUGGCUUCCUGCCCACCAUGCGGCACGUGGCUGGCCCCUCAGCGGCUGCUCUCAGCACGGUGGCGUCUGACGGUGUCCUACCCGCACCUGCUCCGGGUCUGUGACCUCCACAGCUGGGCUCAGGCUUGUGAGCAGGGGCCUGUCCCUGUCUGCAUCCUUGGACCCUCACCGUCGCCUGGACGUCAGAGGAAGCACGACGACCUUGAGCUCCCUUGGGCCGGCCGUGCCCGGAUGACAAGAGAGCCAGGGGCCUGGCCUGGCGCGUCCCAUCAGCCUCCUGUCUCCUCAUUUGUACAUCUAAACAGCUGGCUCGUGUCCUGUUUUUAUGGUGACCUUUCCAACAUAAUCGCUAAUGCAACAGAGGGAGACACUUGAUAGACGCUGACUGCCCUUGGCCGGCCUGGUAAACCAGCGAACUGAUUCGCCCGCCUCCUGGGCUGGGAAGCCCAGCUUUUCCCUCCUGUGGGUCCCCGACCAGACCAUUCCACUUCUGUCACCAACUGUGCAGAGAUUUCCGCACGAGCAAU